This 56-nucleotide transfer RNA is filed under the name Ictidomys tridecemlineatus (thirteen-lined ground squirrel). RNAcentral's name for it is "Spermophilus tridecemlineatus (thirteen-lined ground squirrel) tRNA". It matches the Rfam family "tRNA", at positions 9 to 63 of the family's 71-position model. From Rfam's summary of the family: Transfer RNA (tRNA) molecules are approximately 80 nucleotides in length. Their secondary structure includes four short double-helical elements and three loops (D, anti-codon, and T loops). Further hydrogen bonds mediate the characteristic L-shaped molecular structure. tRNAs have two regions of fundamental functional importance: the anti-codon, which is responsible for specific mRNA codon recognition, and the 3' end, to which the tRNAs corresponding amino acid is attached (by aminoacyl-tRNA synthetases). tRNAs cope with the degeneracy of the genetic code in two manners: having more than one tRNA (with a specific anti-codon) for a particular amino acid; and 'wobble' base-pairing, i.e. permitting non-standard base-pairing at the 3rd anti-codon position. Lineage: Eukaryota; Metazoa; Chordata; Mammalia; Rodentia; Sciuridae. The record is from Rfam by way of RNAcentral.
GGCUCAGAGGUAGAGCACUUGCCUAACAUGCAUGAGGCACUGGGUUCGAUUCUCAG